This is a non-coding RNA of Mycena epipterygia, 94 nucleotides long. The record is from the annotation of a GenBank genome assembly. Lineage: Eukaryota; Fungi; Basidiomycota; Agaricomycetes; Agaricales; Mycenaceae.
UCGGACGUGGUGUAUGGGACACCGCGGGGAUCUCUUACCCAGCAGCAUUUAAAUAUGUUCCUCGUAGUCCGGGGUUCGACUCCCCGCGUCCGAU